RNAcentral lists this long non-coding RNA (523 nucleotides) under Volvox carteri. Its description in RNAcentral is "long non-coding RNA (VCAR_LNC001687)". Lineage: Eukaryota; Viridiplantae; Chlorophyta; Chlorophyceae; Chlamydomonadales; Volvocaceae. The record is from RNAcentral.
GCUAGCACCAUCGUGCGAGUCACUCAGCAAAGCCCCGACACCAGGACCGUGGUGACGAAGAAUACACCUGGAGAACUGCCUCUUCCAUGGUCGGAGAAGGAUCCUUACAAGUUGCCGCUUAGCAUUGAAAAAGUCCAGCGGAUGCUUUUUUCGCUUGGUAUGCGCUUCGCUUGCUGAGACUGUUCUGCUCUCGCGUCGCGCGGCGCUCUGUAUCCAUGUCAGCCACCUGUUUGUAGGUUGGGAAAAGCCGUGGAUUGAGCAAAUUGUGGAUCGCAUUAUGAAGGGGAUGCUGCGCACGACGGAGGAGCGAGCGCGCGGAGUGGUAAGCCGCAUGGCAACCUUUCUAUAAAUAUGGUGAUUAAUACAGGCCCUCUUGCCCCACAGAUCGAUUACCUUGUAAGCGUCGGGCUAAAGCAGGACGAGGUUUGCAACAUGGCGUCGAUCAGCGUUGUGCUCCUGGGCCUGAAUCCGGAGACGCGUUUAAAGACUGUGGUUGAGUACCUCAAGGGGAGAGGCGUUCCGG